GGAUAUUCACCGAAUACGGAUUCUGAUUCAAUGGAGCAUAAAGAAAACACACAGAGAUAUCUCAAAUUUUCCGCCAUCAAUAAUAAGUAGCCAAUCAUAAACAAGGAAAUCCAGAGCAAAGGCCAUAUGAGUUUAUCAGCAACCUUAAUGUUAUCAUAACCACAACAUCACAGAGGGAAGCUUCAAUUCAAGCUUUACAAUAUCAUUCUUACAAACUUAAAAUUGCUUUAACAUUCAAUUAUCACAGGCACAUAAGGCUUAAGAUAAAAAAACAUAAAUUCAUAAAUCUCGCAUAGUUCUAUGACCACAAGACCAAAUAACCAAAACCGUUCCCUAAUGGCAGAGCUAAAAGAAGAAGAAGAAGAAGAGCUUACCUUCCUCAAAGCAGUAGCGAGCUC
Arabidopsis thaliana (thale cress) is the source of this 398-nucleotide long non-coding RNA. RefSeq annotates it as other RNA. The transcript has a single exon. The record is from RefSeq. NCBI's taxonomy places the organism in Eukaryota, Viridiplantae, Streptophyta, Magnoliopsida, Brassicales, Brassicaceae.